GACAGAGGGUGCGAGCGUUGUCCGGAGUUACUGGGCGUAAAGCGCACGCAGGCGGCUGGCCAAGUCUGGGGUUAAAGCCCCCGGCUUAACUGUGGGGGGCCCUUGGAGACUGGCCGGCUGGAGUUGGGCAGGGGCUGCGGGAAUUGCCGGUGUAGCGGUGAAAUGCGUAGAGAUCGGGAAGAAGACCUAAGGCGAAAGCGGGGGGCUGGGCGCUAACUGACGCUGAGGUGCGACAGCUUGGGGAGCGAAUGGG
This 253-nucleotide ribosomal RNA is filed under the name uncultured bacterium. RNAcentral's name for it is "partial 16S ribosomal RNA". It matches the Rfam family "Bacterial small subunit ribosomal RNA", at positions 524 to 776 of the family's 1533-position model. The record is from RNAcentral.